Molecule: ribosomal RNA, 500 nt
Filed under: Solicoccozyma phenolica
Lineage: Eukaryota; Fungi; Basidiomycota; Tremellomycetes; Filobasidiales; Piskurozymaceae
Description: eukaryotic LSU rRNA
Rfam family: Eukaryotic large subunit ribosomal RNA
Source: RNAcentral
CCCGAGUUGUAAUCUAUAGAAACGUUUUCCGCGCUGGCCCAUGUACAAGUCUCCUGGAAUGGAGCGUCAUAGAGGGUGAGAAUCCCGUCCUUGACAUGGACUACCAGUGCUUUGUGAUACGUUUUCAAAGAGUCGAGUUGUUUGGGAAUGCAGCUCAAAAUGGGUGGUAAAUUCCAUCUAAAGCUAAAUAUUGGCGAGAGACCGAUAGCGAACAAGUACCGUGAGGGAAAGAUGAAAAGCACUUUGGAAAGAGAGUUAAACAGUAUGUGAAAUUGUUGAAAGGGAAACGAUUGAAGUCAGUCAUGUCUAUUGGACUCAGCCGGUUCUGCCGGUGUACUUCCUUUAGAUGGGGUCAACAUCAGUUUUGAUCGCUGGAAAAGGGCAGGAGGAAUGUAGCACUCUCGGGUGAACUUAUAGCCUUCUGUCGUAUACAGUGGUUGGGACUGAGGAACGCAGCAUGCCUUUAUGGCCGGGGUUCGCCCACGUACAUGCUUAGGAUG